CCACAUUUUCCCACUCCAGUCUAUCGUCAAUGGGCAUUUGGGUUGGUUCCAGGUCUUUGCUAUUGUAAACAGUGCUGCAAUAAACAUUUGUGUGCACGUGUCCUUAUAGUAGAACAGUUUAUAGUAUUUUGCAUAUAUACCCAGUAAUGGGAUCGCUGGGUCAAAUGGAAUUUCUAUUUCUAGGUCCUUGAGGAAUCGCCACACUGUCUUCCACAAUGGUUGAACUAAUUUACACUCCCACCAGCAAUGUAAAAGUGUUCCUAUUUCUCCACAUCCUCUCCAGCAUCUGUCUCCAGAUUUUUUAAUGAUCGCCAUUCUAACUGGGUCUCACUCUAUCACCCAGGCAACCAGGCUGGAAUGCAGAAGUAUGGUCAUUGCUCAUUUCAGUCUCAAGCUCCUGGGCUCAAAGGAUCCUCCUACCUCAGCCUCAAGGUAACUGGACUACAGGCACACACCACCACACCUAGCUAAUUAUUUAUUUUUUUAGAGACAGGAUCUGGCUUUGUUGCCCAGUCUGGUCUCAAACUGCUGGCCUCAAGUGAUUCUCCUACCUCAGCCUCCU
RNAcentral lists this long non-coding RNA (562 nucleotides) under Callithrix jacchus (white-tufted-ear marmoset). RNAcentral's name for it is "lncRNA (ENSCJAG00000083583.1)". Lineage: Eukaryota; Metazoa; Chordata; Mammalia; Primates; Cebidae. The record is from RNAcentral.